GCCGUGGUGGUGGAAUUGGCAGACACGUAGUGUUGAGGGCGCUAUGGGUUAGUCCCGUGCGGGUUCGAGUCCCGCCCACGGCA
This 83-nucleotide transfer RNA is filed under the name Caldisalinibacter kiritimatiensis. RNAcentral describes it as "tRNA-Leu". It matches the Rfam family "tRNA". From Rfam's summary of the family: Transfer RNA (tRNA) molecules are approximately 80 nucleotides in length. Their secondary structure includes four short double-helical elements and three loops (D, anti-codon, and T loops). The record is from RNAcentral. Lineage: Bacteria; Bacillati; Bacillota; Tissierellia; Tissierellales; Thermohalobacteraceae.